RNAcentral lists this ribosomal RNA (567 nucleotides) under uncultured bacterium. Its description in RNAcentral is "bacterial SSU rRNA". It matches the Rfam family "Bacterial small subunit ribosomal RNA", at positions 60 to 676 of the family's 1533-position model. The record is from RNAcentral.
AGUCGAGCGCCUCGCAGAGGAGCGGCAGACGGGUGAGUAACGCGUGGGAAUCUACCCAUCUCUACGGAACAACUCCGGGAAACUGGAGCUAAUACCGUAUACGUCCUUCGGGAGAAAGAUUUAUCGGAGAUGGAUGAGCCCGCGUUGGAUUAGCUAGUUGGUGGGGUAAUGGCCUACCAAGGCGACGAUCCAUAGCUGGUCUGAGAGGAUGAUCAGCCACAUUGGGACUGAGACACGGCCCAAACUCCUACGGGAGGCAGCAGUGGGGAAUAUUGGACAAUGGGCGAAAGCCUGAUCCAGCCAUGCCGCGUGAGUGAUGAAGGCCCUAGGGUUGUAAAGCUCUUUCAACGGUGAAGAUAAUGACGGUAACCGUAGAAGAAGCCCCGGCUAACUUCGUGCCAGCAGCCGCGGUAAUACGAAGGGGGCUAGCGUUGUUCGGAAUUACUGGGCGUAAAGCGCACGUAGGCGGAUAUUUAAGUCAGGGGUGAAAUCCCGGGGCUCAACCCCGGAACUGCCUUUGAUACUGGGUAUCUCGAGUCCGAGAGAGGUGAGUGGAAUUCCGAGUGU